RNAcentral lists this long non-coding RNA (1529 nucleotides) under Microcebus murinus (gray mouse lemur). Its description in RNAcentral is "lncRNA (ENSMICG00000048201.1)". Lineage: Eukaryota; Metazoa; Chordata; Mammalia; Primates; Cheirogaleidae. The record is from RNAcentral.
CAGGGAGCCUAAAGAACGGCCUCUAGAGCCAGUGGCCAGUGCUGAGGGAAAACAUCUGGACAGGGACGAGCUGAGCCUGCUCAUUGACUACCUGAACACCAGGAAGGGACAGCUGGAAGGCUUGGAUGCUGGACCCUUUAGCCAGCAGUGAGCAUUCCUCACUUCAAGGCAGGAUCAACCCUGUCGUGCGCAAGCUGCCUCCUCUGCUUCCACCCACUGGCAAGAGGCUCUUCUUAGGUGCUUCUGUCCCUGUUCCUGGCAAGUCCCCUCUGGCAACAGGCCAGGAGGAGGUCUCCUUCCGCUGCCAGACCCCUCCAAGAGGCUGACUUCUUUGGAAUGGCCCCUCCCAUACCUGCCAAGCAUCUACUUCUGGGAGAGAAGCCAGGCCUUUUAGCACCACCAUCAGGUGAGUGACCAGGAGAGCUUUGAGUGGCAUUCUAGGCUAGUGAUGUCCAAUAGAACUUUCUAUAGUUGUGCUGUCCAAUGCAGUAGCCAUUAGUUACAUGUGGCUAUUGAACACUUAAAAUGUGGUGAAUAUGACUGAGGAACUAAAUUUUUAAUUUUAUUUAAUUUAAAUGACCAUAGUCAUGUGGAUAGUGGCUACCAUAAUAGACAGCACAGUUCUAGGCUGUUGGCGAUAUUAAGAAGCUGUGGCAAUAGGUAGAGAGGUGUAUUAUAUUUUUACCAAGUAGGAAUCUAUUAUUUGUUAGUAUUUUCACCCUUCCCUCCUCUUUUUAAAAGUCACAUACGUACUUAAAAAAGGAAAUAUUGGCUGGGUACAGUGGCAUGCACCUGUAAUCCUAGCACUUUGGAAGGCCAAGGCAAGAAGGUCUCUUGAGCCCAGGAGUUUGAGGUUAUAGUGAGCUAUGAUCGUGCCACUGUACUCCAGCCUGGAUGACACAGUGAGACAGUCUCUUAAAAAAAAAGGAAAUAUUAUAUCUCUUUCAUAAAUGGAUAUCUUUGUCAUUUGCUCUAAAAUAAAAGUUAACCAUAAAAAAAAAAAAAACCACAAAACAGUGUUACUAAAUUUCUGCCAGAUACUAUUGCCUGCCUCAGUCUCUUAAGCCUAAACCUUAAGGUUUGCUAUCUCCUGGUUAAAAAUGAGGAUUCCUGCCGGGCGUGGUGGCUCACGCUUGUAAUCCUAGCACUUUGGGAGGCCGAGGCGGGCGGAUUGCUCAAGGUCAGGAGUUCGAAACCAGCCUGAGCGAGACCCCGUCUCUACCAAAAAUAGAAAUAAAUUAAUUGACCAACCAAAAAAAUAUAUACAAAAAAUUAGCCGGACAUGGUGGUGCAUGCCUGUAGUCCCAGCUACUCGGGAGGCUGAGGCAGUAGGAUCGCUGAGCCCCGGAGAUUGAGGUUGCUGUGAGCCAGGCUGACGCCACGGCACUCACUCUAGCCUGGGCAACACAGUGAGACUCUGUCUCAAAAAAAAAAAAAAAUGAGGAUUCCUAAGGAUCAAGGAGGUGUUAAUGUCAUGCCAACACUACUAGAAAUUCUUCCCUGGACUUAUUCAGGAUUGCAAAAUGCGG